Molecule: ribosomal RNA, 1050 nt
Filed under: Ceratoperidinium falcatum
Lineage: Eukaryota; Dinophyceae; Gymnodiniales; Ceratoperidiniaeceae
Description: LSU rRNA
Rfam family: Eukaryotic large subunit ribosomal RNA
Source: RNAcentral
UACCCGCUGAAUUUAAGCAUAUAAGUAAGCGGAGGAUAAGAAACUAAAUAGGAUUCCUUAAGUAAUGGCGAAUGAACAAGGAUGAGCUCAGUAUGAAAAUCGGGGCCUAUGGCUUUGAAUUGUAGUCUUGAGAUGUGUUGCCAGCGGAGGCGCAGAUGUAAGCCUCUUGGAAAAGAGCACCAACGAGGGUGAUAGUCCCGUUUGCCAUCUGCAGCCCCCCGUGUACGGCGCAUGUUCUAAGAGUCACGUUCCUCGGGAUUGGAGCGCAAAUGGGUGGUAAAUUUCAUCUGAAGCUAAAUAUUGGUUCGAGACCGAUAGCAAACAAGUACCAUGAGGGAAAGGUGAAAAGGACUUUGAAAAGAGAGUUAAAAGUGCCUGAAAUUGCUGAGAGGGAAGCGAAUGGAACCAGCUUUGCUUGGUGAGAUUGUUGCAUGCUAUAGCUAUGGCUUGCUAUGGUAACGCAAGUGCCCUAGCUUGCCACCAACUUGAUGCAUGCGGUGGUUCUUGCUUUGUGUGUCAGCUUUGGUGCAGACCUGAUGAAAACUGUAGGGGCAAGGUAGCUCGUCUCCGGGUGAGUGAAUGCCCUUGCAAGAAAUCACGUGUGCGCUUGACAUGGCGUGCCUCAUUUGGUGAGCCACAAGAUUGAUGACAAAAUGGUUCCAUACGACCCGUCUUGAAACACGGACCAAGGAGUCUAGCGUAUGUGCAAGUUCACGGGUGUCAAACCUGUUUGCGUAAUGAAAGUGACUGCUGGGAUUUCUGCACCAGCAACCGACCAAUCAAUUGAGAGAGGUUUGAGUAUGAGCAUAUCUGUUAGGACCCGAAAGAUGGUGAACUAUGCCUGAGAAGGGCAAACUCAGGGGAAACUCUGAUGGAGGCUCGUAGCGAUACUGACGUGCAAAUCGUUCGUCAUACUUGGGUAUAGGGGCGAAAGACUAAUCGAACCAUCUAGUAGCUGGUUCCCUCCGAAGUUUCCCUCAGGAUAGCUGGAGUUGAACAGUUUUAUCAGGUAAAGCGAAUGAUUAGAGGAAUCGGGUGCUCGUUGUCCUC